Molecule: non-coding RNA, 78 nt
Organism: Megalops atlanticus (tarpon)
Lineage: Eukaryota; Metazoa; Chordata; Actinopteri; Elopiformes; Megalopidae
Source: the annotation of a GenBank genome assembly
GGCAGUGUGGUGUAGUGGUAAUGAGUAGGGCUCGUGACCUAAAGGUUGCUGGUUCAAUUCCCCACUCGGGCACUGCUG